GUUUUUUUGCAAGUAUUCAGACUCUCUGAAUGACAGUUUACCUUUCUAGGAUUAGCAUGUCCUUUACUGCAACUCUGUGUUUUGCUGAUACAUCUUUUGCUGAUAUGCUUUUGUUUCCUGAGGGCACCCUAUUAAUGAUCAAAAGACCUAUGCCAUUGCUUGCCUUCAAAUUGCUGCUGGUUUGUGGUAAGAUGUGGACACCCACAAAGAGUCUGAUGCUCCUACUUGACAUGUGGUGCUGGACUGUUUGCUCUGUGUGAGCACAUCGUGUUAGAUUUCUUCAUCUCAGAAAGAGGCCUCUUGUCUCCACAUUGCAGUUCUUGCCUACAACUUUCAUCAGUUCAGCUCCCACAAAGUGUGUGAUAACUUGCUAUGAGUCCUCUUGUCUAGCUCUUGUCUCUAAAAGGGAACAAUCUUUGUUCGUAAGUCUGAACAUUCAGACUGUCCAGCUCCCAAGGAACUGAGGUUAAAGAACACCAGCUAUGGUAAGACACCUCAAAGCUAUUCACAGAGAGAGAAUAGAUCUCUUGCAGUACAAAAAUGUCAGUCAGCUCAUGGCCCCUAAAGCUUUCUUGCCCUGUUGUCUUAUGUCUCAAAGUAAUUGUUGCUAGAAGACUACUGGAUGCUGUAACAUACAUUUGAAGUGGAUGACUAAUGGGUUGUGCUAUUCAUUCUUUAAAUCAUUGCAGUGGAUUAUCUCCUGAGUGUUCCAGUUACAUUUGAAAAGGAAAAAAUGAAGCUGAUCUUGGUGACCAGACAGUGCAUUUUUCAUAUUGUUUGACUUCUCUUAGCGUAUAGAAGCUCUGCUAAUGUGUAACACACAUUUGUGGCCCAGAAUCAGCAGAGUUAUUUUUGCACAUAUAUGUGAACGUUUACUUUUCUUCUAUUGAGUACUUCUUGCAAAAGGUUGCUUUCAAGGACUGGGGAAACUCUGAAGUUCUUUACUAUGAAAGUGGUGAGGUGCUGGCACAGGCUGCCCGGAGAGGUUGUGAAUGCCCCAUCCCUGGAGGUGUUCAAGGCUGGGUUGGAUGGGGCCCUGGGCAGCCUGGUCUAGUAUUAAAUGUGGAGGUUGGUGGCCCUGCCUGUGGCAGGGGGGUUGGACAUUCAUGAUCCCUUCCAACCUGGGCCAUUCUGUGAUUCUGUAAAACAUAGAAGCUAGAGAGAUAUCCUUAACCACUGGAGGAUACUGGGAAGGGAUCCCAUCACCCUGAAAUUGACAGACCACUGAAUGCUUAGAGAUGCCUCAUUUCCUACACUCUUG
This is a long non-coding RNA of Gallus gallus (chicken), 1261 nucleotides long. The record is from Ensembl. NCBI's taxonomy places the organism in Eukaryota, Metazoa, Chordata, Aves, Galliformes, Phasianidae.